AUGCUGCCACCAUUCAGUUCUCCGACCGCCGGCAAAUCUCGCUUCUCCGCAGCCAUCCUAGCCAUCGAUGCAGCAACACUGUUCCGACAGUGGAAUUUUGUGAAACAAAACACCAUGAUCCUUGAUACCCAGACCUCCUUUAUCCUUGGAUCUGCAAAUUCUACUCCAUCUCACAAGGUGGUAUCUCUUUUUCUUAUUACACCCUUGCCAGAAGAAUCUCCUUCUGUGUUUAUCCAGUCUCUCAAUAAAGCUCCAUCAAUCUCACGAGCAUUGACGCAGCUCCAUAAGUCGCGUAGUAGAUCUCCAGCGGCGGCUAUCUCGUCGCCGGCGAUCUCAUCGGACAGCGGGCGCGACAACAUCGUGAAUCUCCAACGAGCGCGCACUGGUACCGCAUCCCGCGUCCCCCCUCUAGUCUCGCUCACGGCAACAUCGAACGAACUGCCGCCGCCAGUGGUAGUGGUUAACCUAGCGGGGCGGGAAAUGGCGGACGCGGAGUUAACUGAUAUCAUGGUAGACAUGGAGUUUGGAGAACUGAUGAAAGACUGGAUAGAAGAUUGGUUAGAUGAUGAAAAUUCAGAUCAUGAAGAUCUGUCAGAGAAUGGGAACGAAUGGGACGAUCUUAAUAUCGACGAGCUUGAUGAUGAUCAGGAAAACAACUCGGAGCUCUCGAAUGAAGAUUACAUUAGUCAGUUCAUUUCUGAAUGUCAUAAUGCGUACAACUAUUACGGUGAAUCCGAUGCGGAGAUAGGCCUUAACGACGAAUCAUUAGAUGCACCUGGUUCUGGGGAGUCCGAGUCGUCGGUCAUCAUGAGUGAGGUGACACAAGAUGAUGGGGCAAAGAAUGUCCAAGAUACUACCAGUGCAGAUGAUAAGAGGGAUAUGUUCAUGCGGUUUGUUUGUUCAAGACAAGGGAAACGUGACAGCAAGUUGCUAACCAAGGAAGGACACAGCCGUAGGCUCAGAGCCGAGACACGCUGCUUUUGCGAAGCACACCUGACCGUCAAGCUUGACCAAAAGCGUGGGGUUUGGUAUGUUGAAAGUUUUGAGGACAAGCAUAGCCAUAUGCUGGCAGGACCGGACAAGCGUCGCCUGGGAACUGUGAGCCUUGAAGACCGCAACGGCAUUGGGCAGCCACCGGCCAGCGCAAGAUCUGAAGCCAAGUUGUUGAUGCGCACGCGGCUUGACGACCACCUCGUUAGAUCUGAAGCCGAUUUUUGUUGCUAUAGUUUUGCUCAAUGGCUGCUCCAUGGGAUGCUAUGCAUGAACAGUUCCACAGAUAACACAGGCUGUGACAUGAGCAGUUGCUUCAGCUGUCUUCUAUCUUUACACUCAGUUGGUCUGUGGCUGGUGAUCUUCAUUAUUCAAAGUCUUCAACGUUCAGACUCACACGGCAUGGUUUCUAUAACAUCAACAGACUGCAGUGCACACACAAUGGUUGUGGGGACAAGCAGUAAUUUCUCUUCUGCUUCCCUCACCCGACCAAUAAUUCACCCUCUUUCAUUCCACACUAGGGCUCUCUCUCCCACAUUGCCCACUCCAUCCUCUCAGACUUUCGGACACGGCCAGCUUAGCCAGUUCGUCACUGCCGCUGCUCUCCCCCGCCGGCGACGCAUAUCCACUAAGACACCUUUCAGGCUCUUAUCGACACCUUUCAUUCUUAUUCACCUUGGGGGACAGGACACCGUGACUGCUUUUUCAUUGGAGGACAGUGAGCUGCGGUUGAGGCAGCUGCUGAGCCUGCUGUUUGUCGUCGUGUCCACCGACACUGACAAUUAA
Molecule: ribosomal RNA, 1776 nt
Filed under: Triticum aestivum (bread wheat)
Lineage: Eukaryota; Viridiplantae; Streptophyta; Magnoliopsida; Poales; Poaceae
Description: partial small subunit ribosomal RNA
Source: RNAcentral